UCAAUUGAAUAAUUGCCCUUUACAGUUUCCUUACUUGAAGGAAAAACCUUUGCAGAUUCGAUAACGGGUGGUAAAAAUAGUUCCGGUUUUCCAUACCUGACGCAGCGCCUUAGAAGUUUACGACAUGGCCGGAGUCGUUCCCACACAGGACUCAUUUGGAACCUUAAAAGAUGGAACACCUGUCACGAGGUUUAAUUUUACCAAUCAAAAUAAUGUGACCAUUCGUGUAAUUAAUUUUGGAGCCACAAUAACUGAUAUUCUUCUUCCGGACAAAAACGGAAAAAUUGAAGACAUUAGUCUUGGUUUCGAUACAGCACGGGAUUACGAAUCCCAGC
Long non-coding RNA from Saccostrea cuccullata (small rock oyster), 335 nucleotides. RefSeq lists it as uncharacterized. NCBI's taxonomy places the organism in Eukaryota, Metazoa, Mollusca, Bivalvia, Ostreida, Ostreidae. The transcript is spliced from 4 exons. The record is from RefSeq and is a predicted model, not a curated record.